UUUCAAAGCUUUUCUGGCUUUUAAAACUCCUAGGCACAAUUUUCCUUCCUCAUUCUCAGAAAAUCUUUUGGUUGUGAACAGAAUUGAAAGCAUUCAGCCAUUUAGUGUUUUUUCCCCUUCACUUUGCAUUGAUUUUCCCUCUUUCAUUCUCCAUCUUUACCAAUUCUAUUUCUUUAUCAGGAAGACAACUAAUUUUUUUUCACUUAGCUAAGGUUAAUUCUUCCAUCUUCUGCAUGAUAGUAUAAAUCAUUCCAUCUGUCUAUUUUUCAGUUUGUUUGUAAUUUUUUUUGCCUGCAGCAAAUGUGAUUAAAUUAGCUAUGUUCAAACAAAACAAAACAUAGCAUAACAAAAACCUCCUUUAACUGUUUUAUAUAGUUUGGCUGUGUCUCCACCCAAAUCUCAUCUUGAAUUGUAGUUCCCAUAAUCCCCAAGUGUCAUGGGAGGGUCCUGGUGGGAAGCGAUUGGAUCAUGGGGCAGUUUCCUAUGCUGUUCUUGUGAUAGUGAGUGAUUUACCGCAAGAUCUGAUGGUUUUAUAAAUGUCCAGCAGUUCCCCUACUGGCACACUUUCUCUUUCCUGCUGCCCUGUGAAGAGGAGCUUUCCACCAUGAUUGUAAGUUUCCUGGGGCCUCCUCAGCCAUGCAGAAAUAUUGUGACAGCCACAAGCUUAGAGCUGAUUCAUCGUAGCUUUCCUCUUCAGCACCUGAAAUAGUGUCAGGAGCACUGCAGGCACUCCAUGAAUGUGUGUUGGACUUAAUUGAAUUCCACUGCAACUCUAAUCAACAUUCACUGUAGGGAACAGUGAUGGAAACAUAAUGGACUUCUUCUCCUCGGAACAACAUGUCACUAGCCAGUCCUUGAAGCACACUUCCUGAAUCACACCUGGAUGAAUGCAGCCAAAGGGAAGCAGAUGAAAGCAACCAAAGGGCUUUUCUAAGUGGCAAAGGCAGAUGAGGAAGGGCAAGGCUGUGGUUGUGCUCAUGGCACUAGAGCAGCUCCUUCAGCGCCUGAGAGCUGCCAGAAGACAGGUGUAGAAUUACCAGCUCUAGUGAACUUCAGCUUGCUGGACUGCCUCCUGCUUUGGGACCUGGCUGCUCAGAUGAUUAUUUUCUCCAUCCACUUUUGGCUCAAUGAAGACAGAUACUUACAAAUGAUAAGUGCACUUGGCAACAUCCCAAAUAAUGACUCUUCAACCCUUGGAGACUGCCUUGCCUACACUUGAUUUUUGGAUUUUGAAAUUUAAAUUGGGUAGCCAACAUGGUUCAUUUUCCAGAUACAUAAUGAUAAAAAUUACACACUGCAUAUAGACAAAUUUGUCAUUAACAAACCAAUUUUAUGAGCAUUGUUUCAUUUAAUUUGCAAAAUUCCCUUGGGAUGCUGGGAAGGAAUAUAUAUUUUUUAUCGUAUUUUGGUCAACAGCAUACUGCUUCCUUUUGAUGACCAUGUAUUCUAGAGUCAAAAGAAUGUAAAUCUGAAGUUCAUCUUAGCCAGUUGCUAGUGUGUUCCUUUGGGGAUACUACUAUACAAUCUUGUUCUGUUCCUUUAGAAAAUAGCUACUCACAAUAUUAAUUACCCAUUGGGAUGUUAUGAGGGUAAAAUUAAUAAAGACAGUCCUCUGGCUCACUUGGAUUCUUUGAGAGAGUAGAAGCACUAGUGAUCAUAAAAGGAAAUGAACUUUGAGGGAAAAGCUAUUUUAAAGACUUAUUCUAAUUUUACAAACCUGGGUACAUCACAGACCAUUCCGGGUGGCAUUUUCAUUAUUUGAGAAAAUGGGGCUGGUCCUUACUGUCAUUAUUUGCAUGAAGAUUAAAUGAUACUACAAAUUUAAAAGCACAGUAUGUAGUAUGAAGUUGUACUUGCAAGAUUCAUUCAAUAAAUAUGUUUCAUUUAUCUUUCAAUAAGCCUUCUUUUAUUUUUCAUCUGUAAAAUGGGGAUUAAAAAAUGCCUUGCCUCUCUGUUUCAUGUUUUUUUUUAACCUCUCAGGUAAACUAGACAAGUAAUAUCCCUUAAUAAAAUUUUAAAGUGC
This 2023-nucleotide long non-coding RNA is filed under the name Homo sapiens (human). Its description in RNAcentral is "HSALNT0213891". Lineage: Eukaryota; Metazoa; Chordata; Mammalia; Primates; Hominidae. The record is from RNAcentral.